UGGGCUUGACAUACACUGGAUCGGGCUAGAGAUAGUCUUUCCCUUUGUGGCUGGUGUACAGGUGGUGCAUGGUU
This 74-nucleotide ribosomal RNA is filed under the name uncultured Corynebacterium sp. RNAcentral's name for it is "partial 16S ribosomal RNA". The record is from RNAcentral. Lineage: Bacteria; Bacillati; Actinomycetota; Actinomycetes; Mycobacteriales; Corynebacteriaceae.